Molecule: ribosomal RNA, 490 nt
Filed under: uncultured bacterium
Lineage: Bacteria
Description: partial 16S ribosomal RNA
Rfam family: Bacterial small subunit ribosomal RNA
Source: RNAcentral
AGUGAACGCUGGCGGUAGGCCUAACACAUGCAAGUCGAACGGCAGCACAGGAGAGCUUGCUCUCUGGGUGGCGAGUGGCGGACGGGUGAGGAAUACAUCGGAAUCUGCCCAGUCGUGGGGGAUAACGUAGGGAAACUUACGCUAAUACCGCAUACGACCUUCGGGUGAAAGAGGGGGAUCGCAAGACCUCUCGCGAUUGGAUGAGCCGAUGUCGGAUUAGCUAGUUGGCGGGGUAAUGGCCCACCAAGGCGACGAUCCGUAGCUGGUCUGAGAGGAUGAUCAGCCACACUGGAACUGAGACACGGUCCAGACUCCUACGGGAGGCAGCAGUGGGGAAUAUUGGACAAUGGGCGCAAGCCUGAUCCAGCCAUACCGCGCGGGUGAAGAAGGCCUUCGGGUUGUAAAGCCCUUUUGUUGGGAAAGAAAUCUUUCAGGCUAAUACCCUGGGAGGAUGACGGUACCCAAAGAAUAAGCACCGGCUAACUUCGUG